Non-coding RNA from Potamilus streckersoni, 77 nucleotides. The record is from the annotation of a GenBank genome assembly. NCBI's taxonomy places the organism in Eukaryota, Metazoa, Mollusca, Bivalvia, Unionida, Unionidae.
GACUGCUUUGGUGGCUUAGUGGUUAGAGUGUCUGCCUCAGAUGCAGGUGGUCAUGGGUUUAAACUCCUGCCGAGUCA